RNAcentral lists this ribosomal RNA (442 nucleotides) under uncultured bacterium. RNAcentral's name for it is "partial 16S ribosomal RNA". It matches the Rfam family "Bacterial small subunit ribosomal RNA", at positions 338 to 795 of the family's 1533-position model. The record is from RNAcentral.
CCUACGGGAGGCAGCAGUGGGGAAUAUUGGGCAAUGGGCGCAAGCCUGACCCAGCAACGCCGCGUGAAGGAAGAAGGCUUUCGGGUUGUAAAGCUCUUUUGACAGGGAAGAGUAGAAGACGAUACCUGUAGAAUAAGCCACGGCUAACUACGUGCCAGCAGCCGCGGUAAUACGUAGGUGGCAAGUGUUGUGCGGAUUUACUGGGUGUAAAGGGCGUGUAGCCGGGUUGACAAGUCAGAUGUGAAAUCCUGUGGCUUAACCGCAGAACUGCCUUUGAAACUGUUGAUCUUGAGUGCUGGAGAGGCAGGCGGAAUUCCUGGUGUAGCGGUGAAAUGCGUAGAUAUUAGGAGGAACACCAGUGGCGAAGGCGGUCUGCUGGACAGCAACUGACGGUGAGGCGCGAAAGCGUGGGGAGCAAACAGGAUUAGAUACCCGGGUAGUC